Molecule: long non-coding RNA, 485 nt
Organism: Carassius auratus (goldfish)
Lineage: Eukaryota; Metazoa; Chordata; Actinopteri; Cypriniformes; Cyprinidae
Exons: 3
Source: RefSeq, a predicted model, not a curated record
GGUCACUGUAAAAAUACAAUACAAUAUGGUUAGCAAUAAUCUCAUAUUUAUAAUUGUGAUCAAACAGACUUUAGGUGUAACUCAUGGAUGUCCGUUUUUAAUCUGUAAUACACCAAUCACUGGUGAUGUUGCACAACAAGCUCUAACUUCAUUGGAGGAGGAAUCUGAGCUUGGUGUCAUUUUAAUUGCAUUGCUUAAAACAUCUGAUGUUAAUUGACUACAAUGCUCUCUGCAAAACCAUAUGCAGCACCAGAAGAUAAUGAUGUUUGGUUCACUGCCUGCUUUCCCGCUUUACCUAUGGUCAUUACACACGAGUCCGUUGGUUUGGUGGGAGAGAACAGAGUGCUUCAGUAGUUGUGCACCUGAGGCUGUCAGGAUUUCCUCAGCCAUCUUCCUACGUAGUGCCUCCAUAUUGGUCACAGAAGUAUUGAUGUCCAACUGGGAUGGAACUUUUGGGAAACUAGAGACAACCUCCUUUGCCCUUU